Molecule: ribosomal RNA, 208 nt
Filed under: uncultured bacterium
Lineage: Bacteria
Description: partial 16S ribosomal RNA
Rfam family: Bacterial small subunit ribosomal RNA
Source: RNAcentral
CUCGUAGGCGGUUCGGUAAGUCGGGUGUGAAACCUCCAGGCUCAACCUGGAGACGCCACCUGAUACUGCUGUGACUAGAGUCCGGUAGGGGAGUGUGGAACUCCUGGUGUAGCGGUGAAAUGCGCAGAUAUCAGGAAGAACACCAGCGGCGAAGGCGGCACUCUGGGCCGGUACUGACGCUGAGGAGCGAAAGCGUGGGUAGCAAACA